RNAcentral lists this ribosomal RNA (444 nucleotides) under uncultured bacterium. RNAcentral describes it as "bacterial SSU rRNA". It matches the Rfam family "Bacterial small subunit ribosomal RNA", at positions 340 to 781 of the family's 1533-position model. The record is from RNAcentral.
UACGGGAGGCAGCAGUGAGGAAUAUUGGACAAUGGGCGAGAGCCUGAUCCAGCCAUGCCGCGUGCAGGAAGACUGCCCUAUGGGUUGUAAACUGCUUUUAUACAGGAAGAAACCCACCUACGUGUAGGUGGCUGACGGUACUGUAAGAAUAAGGAUCGGCUAACUCCGUGCCAGCAGCCGCGGUAAUACGGAGGAUCCAAGCGUUAUCCGGAAUCAUUGGGUUUAAAGGGUCCGUAGGUGGAUAAUUAAGUCAGAGGUGAAAUCCUGCAGCUCAACUGUAGAAUUGCCUUUGAUACUGGUUGUCUUGAAUUAUUGUGAAGUGGUUAGAAUAUGUAGUGUAGCGGUGAAAUGCAUAGAUAUUACAUAGAAUACCAAUUGCGAAGGCAGAUCACUAACAAUAUAUUGACACUGAUGGACGAAAGCGUGGGGAGCGAACAGGAUUAG